UUAUCACUUAAGGUACGUUCACACAUAGAGCGACUCACAGAGACAAUGCGACCAGAGACGUUCAUUUUCAAUGAGAUCUGGUGACUUCCGGAGACAUGCGCGGCAGCGACCAUUGGCGACCGGAUGUGGGCGUGUCCAGCGACGUGACAAAGUUUAACUUCAUGCAAAUUUGGAGCGACUUGGUGCAGCGACUACCAAUGGGAGUGAAGAAGAGUGAGCACACACCACCCCUACUCACUAGCAGAGGGAGCGCCAUUGUGGCAGUAGCCAAUUAGCUUAGCUAAGCUUAGGAUCUUAGUGGGUUUAAAGCAAAAUUUUUUAUUAUUAAGUAAAUAAAUAAAUAACAAUGAAACAUUCACUUUUUGUUGCAAUUGAGCAAAAUCCCAGUGUAGCUCCUAUCUUUGGUGAAGUGUCCGGCUUGUCGCUGCUUCGGCGGCCGGGAACGAGCAGCACCAAGCCAGACACUUCACCCAGAAAACACGGAGGCCACAGCCAAAUAACUGCAGUCCGGCUCCCGGUCACCAUCGAACAUAUAGUGAAGGACAACCUGAUGGUGACACUCACUCACUGAGAUAGGAGCUACACCCGGAGUCUGUCCAGAAAGUGACCCGGAGUGUGUUUCAUUACUAUUAUUUUGCUUUAAACGCACUAAGGCCAUAAGCUAAGCUAAUUGGCGCUUGUGCUUUUGCCGCAGUUAGACGGCUGAUCACACACCGCUUCUCCUUCAUCUCGUAAGAUAUGAUGCAUAUAUACACUGGUGAAUUUUAUAUCCUCUCUCUCCAAAAUGUUUUAUUUCAGCAGCAAGAAAACUCGUUUGUUGUCAAAAGUGGAAUGUUAGUUGUACCACCCAUGUUACUAUGGCAACCAGUAAUAGGAACGCCUAACUGCGACUUCAUAGUACAGUGACUGGUGACUUGCAGUGAUAAAAUUGCUGUAUGUGUGAAGGCAGCAUUAUGCAGCGCAGUGUCCGUCACAUAUUAGAAGAUCUUUACAGAGGAAGCUGACAGUCGCAUCAUUGACAUCAUGUUUCGAGUUUCGUGCUCGGCCACGGUUAGCAAUCACACUAGAUGUGUACCGUGCGUGAGUCCAACUCUUCGAGCGAGCCUGGGCAUGGUAUGGAGCGAUCACCACCAAACUGGACUUUGGGGGUCAAACGUGCUCGGGCGUGGUACCGAUCGUCUAGUAUGCUCUUAUCCAGAGUGUGUUACAGAAGUGCUCCGAAGUCUCUCUCAGAAAACACAUCCUCAUGCUAGUUCACUAGGACAGGGACUAAGAGUACCAUCAGUCUAAACACAGUGUUGAGAGACAGGAGACUUCAAAUUUCACCAUAAAAGUCCCAAACAAGAUCAUGUAUAGCAGUCUUCUUACACAAAAGAGGAUGAUGUGUCUGCCAUGUCAACACAGAAUUUGGCAUCUGACUCCAUUUCCCAGCAUGCACCUCCGAAUACAAAUAUGGCUACCAUCGACUACAAAUAUGGCUACCAUGGACUCCAACUCCCAGUUCACACGCUCAAGCUCACCCCAUUACUGACUGCACACACCUGGACUCAAUCACCACUCCACACUAUAUAAACACGCUCACUACACAUAGACUUUGUGGAGGAUUUGUUCAGCUCGCUUUCCUCAUCUGAUGUAUCAAGCCUUUGAGUCAUGCGUGCCAUUUCUAUUUUCGACCCAUGUUUAUUUUCUUGUUUCAUCAUUAUAGUCUCAUACUCCGAAUAUUUUUUUGUAUAAGUUUGUACAUUGCUUGACCCUUUGCCUGCUCAGUGUCAAGGGUUCCUACUCCAAUGUUCUCUGUAUUUCUCUGAACAACGUAAGGUGGAUCAGUUUAUUAACCUUCUCAAAGGGCAAGGAGUUAACCUGGACGACCGCAGUCUGGAACCAAGGAGGGGAACACACCUCAACUCACGAUCGAUUCACUGAACUGUUCCUCCACGUCUUUGACCACGCUCCAGAAGUCCAGCGACAGGUGUAUUUUAGAAGGUGGGAGGAAACCAGAGAACCCAGAGGAAACCCACAUGGACAUGGGGAGAACAAGCACAGAAACUCCACACAGACAGAAGCCCGAGCUCAGGACUGAAGCGGGGACCCUGGAGCUGUGAGGAGACAACGCUACCCACUGCAUCACCACACUGCUCAUAGAUCCACAGAGUUCCCCUUUUGUAUAGAUGGUAAUGAAUCAAAAACAGAACAGCUGUGUAACGCUAAACUGGAAAUUAGCUGUUAUUGUUUUUUAUUUAAAUUAAUUUAUUUACUUUUACAACAAUUUAUUUAUAAGUAAUGAGAGCGACACAGUUCAGUCCACAUAGACUGCUGUUGUAAGUUUUGAAAAUGUGAAGACAGUAUUGAUAAAGGCAUGUAACUAAUUUAAAUAAUAAUAAUAAUAAUAAUAAUAAUAAUAAUAAUAAUCUCUCUCUCGCUCAUUAUAUAUAUACUCAUACAUACAUAUGUCAUGAUGCAGGAAGUGAAGAUGGUCACUGACAGAGAGACAGCAGAAAAAGGUGUGAAAUUCACACGCAUCUAUUUAUAGCUAAGACCAGAAUGAAGAAGUGACGUACAAGUUACAGGAAAAUAACUUUUCUAUUACACUUUAUAUGAGUUAUUAUAGAUACAUUCACUAAGACAGAGAUUGUGAGAGAUGUAAUUCAGUAAAUGUGUAAAAACAUACACUGUAAGUAUUAUAGGGAUGUAAAAUAAUCUCACUGUAGAUUCCUCCUUAUUCAUUCGCCCACCUCUCUUCAUCAGUACAUUUUAGUCUGAAGUUAAUCAGGAAGAAAAAAUCCACACGAUCAAAGCUGAACAGGUCUAAAUAAGGAGAUUAUAACACAAGGCAUGACGUGUAUGUUUACCUUGUGUAUAAAGAUUACUGCUGUCUUUGGACAAUUUGGUCGUUCAGGAACAGGGCUGAACUACGGCCUACUGUAAACCCAGUCUGGACAGAAACCACAUGAACUAAACACAAAGCAGCUGAACUAAGAACUGGCUAAUAUUCUCUCUCCUUUCUGUAAUAGAAAAUAGAAAAUAACUUCACUCACCUGCAGCGACGUGAAACACAGCAGACAAAAGAUACAAGCACUUCAUCAUUACUGAUUCUUCUGCACACACACCAGUCCCUCAAAGUGACAACACACACACACACUCACACUGCCUGAGUGUCUCUGUUAUAUAGUGUGAUUAUCAGGAAACCACAACAACCACUGUCUCAUUUUUUCUUUUUGAAGAGUGAUUUCAUCACUCUUUCCAUGACUCAAUUUACUUUUUAUAUGCAGCAUUAAUAUUUAUUCUAAAAAAAUAAAAUAAAAUUGAGAUAUUUUAUCUCAUGUGGUGGGUUUAUCUUACUUCAUAGUAUCAGCAUUGUUAUCUUUCUUAGGCAUCAUUUUCUUAAUGCUUGCUUGUAGCCUUUUCUUUAGAUGAAAUUUUACCUAAAUAAACAAAUGAAUGCA
Long non-coding RNA from Ictalurus furcatus (blue catfish), 3443 nucleotides. RefSeq lists it as uncharacterized. The transcript has 4 exons. Lineage: Eukaryota; Metazoa; Chordata; Actinopteri; Siluriformes; Ictaluridae. The record is from RefSeq and is a predicted model, not a curated record.